GGGGAAUCUUCCGCAAUGGGCGAAAGCCUGACGGAGCAAUACCGCGUGAGGGAUGAAAGCCUGUGGGUUGUAAACCUCUUUUCUCAAGGAAGAAGUUCUGACGGUACUUGAGGAAUAAGCAUCGGCUAACUCUGUGCCAGCAGCCGCGGUAAUACAGAGGAUGCAAGCGUUAUCCGGAAUCACUAGGCAUAAAGCGUCUGUAGGUUGCCUACCAAGUCUGCUGUUAAAGAUCAGGGCCUAACCCUGGGAAAGCAGUGGAAACUAGUAGGCUUGAGUGUGGUAGAGGUAGAGGGAAUUCCUGGUGUAGCGGUGAAAUGCGUAGAUAUUAGGAAGAACACCAAUGGCGAAAGCACUCUACUGGGCCAUAACUGACACUGAGAGACGACAGCUAGGGGAGCAAAUGGGAUUAGAUACCCCAGUAGUC
RNAcentral lists this ribosomal RNA (424 nucleotides) under uncultured cyanobacterium. RNAcentral describes it as "bacterial SSU rRNA". It matches the Rfam family "Bacterial small subunit ribosomal RNA", at positions 356 to 795 of the family's 1533-position model. The record is from RNAcentral. Lineage: Bacteria; Bacillati; Cyanobacteriota.